This 509-nucleotide ribosomal RNA is filed under the name uncultured bacterium. RNAcentral describes it as "bacterial SSU rRNA". It matches the Rfam family "Bacterial small subunit ribosomal RNA", at positions 791 to 1301 of the family's 1533-position model. The record is from RNAcentral.
UAGUCCACGCCGUAAACGAUGAGCACUAGUUAUAGGGUCGUUAUAGAUUCUGUGACGUAGCUAACGCAUUAAGUGCUCCGCCUGGGGAGUACAGGUCGCAAGACUAAAACUCAAAGGAAUUGACGGGGGCCCGCACAAGCGGUGGAUCAUGUGGUUUAAUUCGAAGCAACGCGAAUAACCUUACCUGGGCUUGAAAUCCCGAGAAGACUUAAGAGAUUAGGUUGUGCUCUUCGGAGAACUCGGUGACAGGUGCUGCAUGGCUGUCGUCAGCUCGUGUUGUGAAUGUUGGGUUAAGUCUCGCAACGAGCGGAACCCCUGUUCUUAGUUGCCAGCAUUAAGUUGGGCACUCUAAGGAGACCGCCGGGUUAACCCGGAGGAAGGUGGGGAUGACGUCAAGUCCUCAUGGCCCUUAUGUCCAGGGCUACACACGUGAUACAAUGGUCAGUACAGAGGGAUGCCAACCAGCAAUGGGGAGCAAAUCUCAAAAAGCUGAUCUCAGUCCGGAUUGG